This 428-nucleotide long non-coding RNA is filed under the name Salmo salar (Atlantic salmon). Its description in RNAcentral is "lncRNA (ENSSSAG00000111244.1)". Lineage: Eukaryota; Metazoa; Chordata; Actinopteri; Salmoniformes; Salmonidae. The record is from RNAcentral.
GUGAGUUACAGGGUGGUGGUAGAGUGUUGUGGGGGGUGGAGGGAGUGUUGUGUGUGUGAGUUAAAGGGUGGUGGUAGAGUGUUGUGGGGGGUGGAGGGAGUGGUGUGUGUGUGAGUUACAGGGUGGUGGUAGAGUGUUGUGGGGGGUGGAGGGAGCGGUGUGUGUGUGUGUGAGUUACAGGGUGGGAGUGGUGUGUGUGUGAGUUACAGGGUGGUGGUAGAGUGUUGUGGGGGGGUGGAGGGAGCGGUGUGUGUGUGUGAGUUACAGGGUGGUGGUAGAGUGUUGUGGGGGGUGGAGGGAGCGGUGUGUGUGUGUGAGUUACAGGGUGGUGGUAGAGUGUUGUGGGGGGUGGAGGGAGUGGUGUGUGUGUGAGUUACAGGGUGGUGGUAGAGUUUUGUGGGGGGUGGAGGGAGUGGUGUGUGUGUGAG